UGAAGAUUUACCCCUGGAUUUCUCCUGAUGUCUUGCAGCUGAUGCAUGUGCGAUUGAAAAAUACAGUGAGUGCUGCUACCGUGUGCCAACCAACAGAACAAUGGGCUUGUGAAGACACGAUACUGCAGGGCUGGGGCUUUAGCUCAGUGCUUCUGCUGCCUGCCUCACAAGCACGAGGACCUGCGUUCAAUCCCCGCUACCAAAAAAGCAAAAGACGUGAUACUGCGGCUUUAGCCACCU
This 240-nucleotide long non-coding RNA is filed under the name Fukomys damarensis (Damara mole-rat). RNAcentral describes it as "lncRNA (ENSFDAG00000029363.1)". The record is from RNAcentral. Lineage: Eukaryota; Metazoa; Chordata; Mammalia; Rodentia; Bathyergidae.